RNAcentral lists this ribosomal RNA (460 nucleotides) under uncultured bacterium. RNAcentral describes it as "partial 16S ribosomal RNA". It matches the Rfam family "Bacterial small subunit ribosomal RNA", at positions 338 to 795 of the family's 1533-position model. The record is from RNAcentral.
CCUACGGGUGGCAGCAGUGAGGAAUAUUGGUCAAUGGACGAGAGUCUGAACCAGCCAAGUAGCGUGAAGGAUGACUGCCCUAUGGGUUGUAAACUUCUUUUAUAUGGGAAUAAAAUGUUCCACGUGUGGGAUUUUGUAUGUACCAUAUGAAUAAGGAUCGGCUAACUCCGUGCCAGCAGCCGCGGUAAUACGGAGGAUCCGAGCGUUAUCCGGAUUUAUUGGGUUUAAAGGGCGCGUAGGUGGAUUGUUAAGUCAGUUGUGAAAGUUUGCGGCUCAACCGUAAAAUUGCAGUUGAAACUGGCAGUCGUGAGUACAGUAGAGGCGGGCGGAAGUCGUGGUGUAGCGGUGAAAUGCUUAGAUAUCACGAAGAACUCCGAUUGCGAAGGCAGCUCACUGGACUGCAACUGACACUGAGGCUCGAAAGUGUGGGUAUCAAACAGGAUUAGAUACCCUUGUAGUC